This is a long non-coding RNA of Amphimedon queenslandica, 1977 nucleotides long. RefSeq lists it as uncharacterized. The record is from RefSeq and is a predicted model, not a curated record. NCBI's taxonomy places the organism in Eukaryota, Metazoa, Porifera, Demospongiae, Haplosclerida, Niphatidae. The transcript has 5 exons.
UGAGGAUGAAAGAAAGAAACUGCUCACUGGGAAAGACGGAAGAUAUAAGGAAAAAAUGCAACAAGAACUAGAGAAGAAAGAAGACAAACAGGCCAAAGCGCAGAACAGGCUGAGCUCCAAAAGAGAUUGUCUUAUUUGGAAUCAAAGUUUAUAGUUGGAGGUGUCAAUUUGCUUGAGUAGAUUGAGAAACAAUUAGAAAGUCAAGUUAGAAAAGUCAAGAAAAGAUUUAGAAAAGAGGAAGAAGGAAGAGUCCAUACUAAAAGAACAACUUAAGCAGAAAGAGGUUGAAAGACAGGAUUAUUUGGUCAAUAGAGGUGACAAGGGACAUCAUUACACAUGAAUUGAAGGAUACUUGGAAACAACUGCAAUCAAUGAAAGAUGUAUCAUAGGAAAACACAAAAUGCUCCUCCCUCUCUUGCCCUCCUAACUUCUCCCACUUCUAAAUUCUAGUUCAAUAAACUCUCAGUUUUCUAUUCUCCCUUUUUUCUUUUUAUUUAUUUUUUGGCUCUAUGACUGUUCAUCAUUGAGACCCCAAGGUCACUAUUUUCACUUAUAUAUUCAUUUUGUCCUGUUUCUUCUUAUUCUGUCUUUCCCUUUUAAAGUUAUGAUUAUUAUUAUUAUUAUUAUUACAAGUGUUGUAUCAAGUGACAGUCAGUAUCCACAUCAAGAAGACUUAUACGGACAAAAACACUUUGCAUGACAAGAAUAAAAAUAAUGAACUAAUAUAGUAUGCCAUGUACACUUGACAAAAAUAAUUAAAAUGUACAUAAAAAGAUUUCUUUGACCAUCCAUUGAUUACUUGUGCUCAGUAUGAGUGGAGGACAUGUCUUCAUUCUCAUCAUCUUCAUUGUGGAGUCUAGAUCUAUUGUCUUCCACACCUGAUGAUUGGUUAGCAACUUCUUCCAAUUCUAUUGGAUGGUCAUUAUCUGGUUGAUCCAGUUGAGUGCUAAGCACCUCUUUUUUCACUGUUUUACUUCUUUGAUCAACUUCAAUUAGAAUUAUUGCUAGUCGAUACGUAAUGAUACUGACAACUGCAACAAUGAUCAUAAGCUCUAUCGGAUCAUUGCCAAACAUUGUAAUGAUGUUCAGUUGGUAUGAAACAUAAUCAAUAAGGGCCAAUAUUGGUAGCCAUGUCACCACAUAAAUGAAUAUUGUGUAGAACAUUGCUGCAAUCAUGACCCAGGCAUCACGUUUUCUCUGUCCCCUGUUCUCAUAUCUACAAACUAAUUUACUGCAUCUUCUGAUGAAAUAUGGUACUCUCCUAUAUAUUAUCAUUGCUGGUAGAUACAUAGGGAUGAGAGGGAGGAUUUUAGACAGUACUAGGCCAGGAUACACUGCAAAUAUGAUGGCAAUCCAGAAUCCAUGAAAUACAGCAAAUGCACUUAAAACUGUCAGAAGUGAUACUGUUACUAUUUGGCUAAUGAUGUGUUGCUGCCCAUCAUUCUUUACUGCUGCACAAGUCAUGCAUUUGAUGACUGUAGGGAUAAAAAAGCUGACAAUAAAACAUGAGGAAACUAUGAUUGGUACUGGUAGAAAAACAAGCCAGUUUUCAGUGUUAUACUUUACUCUGGAAACAAAGUAUCCAUUAUAACUAUCAUAAAAGCUCCAAAGUAUAAUAGCAAAUACAUAAAAAACAUUAUGAGCUGGCGAAGAAAUCGACUCUAAGAAAGGAGUUUGAUUCAUGUCACUGCCCUCACCAGAGAUUCCAGAAGUAGCUGUACUGACUGCAAUCUUGAUUGCUUUAUCAAUACGUUUUCUAAUGCUCCCCGAGCAUACUCGAAAACUGAGAACCAAAAAUACAUUAAUGACGACAGUCAAUAGACAAUAUGUUAUAAGGAUGUUAACCCGAACAUUAAUCAGUUCAUAGUAUUGCGUUGGAAAUUCAUUGCCUGAUUCAUAGUACCUCACAUAGCCUUUCAAUUGCUCGUCAUUACCACCUAUUGCAUAGCCCUUUAACUAAAAUAAAGAAUAGUACUA